CCUACGGGUGGCAGCAGUGGGGAAUAUUGGGCAAUGGGCGAAAGCCUGACGCAGCGACGCCGCGUGAGGGAUGAAGGUCUUCGGAUCGUAAACCUCUGUCAGCAGGGAAGAACGGUCACUGUGCUAAUCAGCAGUGAAUUGACGGUACCUGCAAAGGAAGCACCGGCUAACUCCGUGCCAGCAGCCGCGGUAAUACGGAGGGUGCGAGCGUUAAUCGGAAGUACUGGGCGUAAAGCGCUCGUAGGCGGUAUGUCAAGUCAAGGGUGAAAUCCCCGGGCUCAACGUGGGAACUGCCUUUGAAACUGGCAAACUGGAGUGUGUGAGAGGAAAGGGGAAUUCGAGGUGUAGGAGUGAAAUGCGUAGAUAGCAGGAGGAACAUCAGUGGCGAAGGCGACUAUCUGGCACAUAACUGACGCUGAGGAGCGAAAGCGUGGGUAGCAAACAGGAUUAGAUACCCGAGUAGUC
This 465-nucleotide ribosomal RNA is filed under the name uncultured bacterium. Its description in RNAcentral is "partial 16S ribosomal RNA". It matches the Rfam family "Bacterial small subunit ribosomal RNA", at positions 338 to 795 of the family's 1533-position model. The record is from RNAcentral.